GCUUUUCUAUUGGUACGGCAUCGCUCUGGGAGACGGAAACCGGGCAUUCAAGGACUAUUACUAUUGCACAGAACACAUGUCAAUUAGGUAGAUGGUGGAGAAAAGCCCUCCAUGCCAACUAUCGAAAACUGGUAUGAAAGGAUGAUCAGCCACGCUGGGACUGAGACUCGGCCCAGACUCCUCCGGGAGGCAGCACGUGGGGAAUUUUGGACAAUGGAGGAGACCCCGCACCAGCCAUGCCUCGUGUAUGAAGUAGGCCGUCAGGUUGUAAAGGACUUUUGUUAGAGAUGACGUCAUUGGGAUAGGAGACUUUUUGAUGACGGGAGUCAAGGGCAGCACCUACUAACUCCGUCCAUAGCCGCAUAAUAGGUAUUGGAAGAGCUUAAUCCGAUAAAUGUGAGUCAACGAAGGCAGACCGUGAGUAAGCAAGAAUUGGAAUCCCAAAAACAACCUAAGAGUUGCAUUCUGGGGAUGGGUAGAAAGAUUACUCCUCACGCGGGAGAAUUCAGGGGCGUAACAGUGAAAUUCGUAUAGACAUGAGGAAUACAGCAGGCGAUGGCAGCCCCUCGGAUUUUACUGACUUUCAUGUUGGAAAGCGCCUGUGGCAAACAGG
This 613-nucleotide ribosomal RNA is filed under the name uncultured Actinomycetaceae bacterium. RNAcentral describes it as "bacterial SSU rRNA". It matches the Rfam family "Bacterial small subunit ribosomal RNA", at positions 171 to 776 of the family's 1533-position model. Lineage: Bacteria; Bacillati; Actinomycetota; Actinomycetes; Actinomycetales; Actinomycetaceae. The record is from RNAcentral.